Molecule: unclassified non-coding RNA, 343 nt
Filed under: Hevea brasiliensis (rubber tree)
Lineage: Eukaryota; Viridiplantae; Streptophyta; Magnoliopsida; Malpighiales; Euphorbiaceae
Source: RNAcentral
GAAAUUGUCUUUCCCAUUCUUUCCCCCGACCCUGCAACGAAGAAAGACGUUCACUUCUUAAAAUAUCCAAUAUAUGUGGGUGGAAAUAGAGGAAGGGGUCAGAUUUAUCCUGAUGGGAGCAAGAGUAACAAUACAGUCUAUAAUGCUACAUCAGCGGGAAUAGUAAGCAGAAUAGUACGUAAAGAAAAGGGGGGAUAUGAAAUAACCAUAGUUGAUGCAUCAGAUGGACAUCAAGUGGUUGAUAUUGUACCUCCAGGACCGGAACUUCUUAUUUCAGAGGGUGAAUCCAUCAAGCUUGAUCAACCAUUAACAAGUAAUCCUAAUGUAGGAGGUUUUGGUCAGG